AGUGAACGCUGGCGGUAGGCCUAACACAUGCAAGUCGAACGGCAGCACAGUAAGAGCUUGCUCUUACGGGUGGCGAGUGGCGGACGGGUGAGGCAUACAUCGGCAUCUUCUUUUUCGUGGGGGAUAACGUAGGGAAACUUACGCUGAUACCGCAUACGACCUACGGGUGAAAGCAGGGGAUCUUCGGACCUUGCGCGAUUGAAUGAGCCGAUGUCGGAUUAGCUAGUUGGCGGGGUAAAGGCCCACCAAGGCGACGAUCCGUAGCUGGUCUGAGAGGAUGAUCGGCCACACUGGAACUGAGACACGGUCCAGACUCCUACGGGAGGCAGCAGUGGGGAAUAUUGGACAAUGGGCGCAAGCCUGAUCCAGCCAUACCGCGUGGGUGAAGAAGGCCUUCGGGUUGUAAAGCCCUUUUGUUGGGAAAGAAAAGCAGCAGGUUAAUACCCCGCUGUUCUGACGGUACCCAAAGAAUAAGCACCGGCUAACUUCGUG
This 492-nucleotide ribosomal RNA is filed under the name uncultured bacterium. RNAcentral's name for it is "partial 16S ribosomal RNA". It matches the Rfam family "Bacterial small subunit ribosomal RNA", at positions 29 to 507 of the family's 1533-position model. The record is from RNAcentral.